Molecule: ribosomal RNA, 722 nt
Filed under: uncultured bacterium
Lineage: Bacteria
Description: bacterial SSU rRNA
Rfam family: Bacterial small subunit ribosomal RNA
Source: RNAcentral
UAGAUACCCCGGUAGUCCACGCCCUAAACGAUGUUCACUAGUCGUCGGAAUGCUAGUCAUUUCGGUGAUGCACUUAACAGAUUAAGUGAACCGCCUGGGGAGUACGGUCGCAAGAUUAAAACUCAAAGGAAUAGACGGGGACCCGCACAAGUGGUGGAGCAUGUGGUUUAAUUCGAAGAUACGCGAAGGACCUUACCUAGCCUUGACAUUGAUUGAACGGACCAGAGAUAGACCGGUGCCCUUCGGGGAACAUGAAAACAGGUGCUGCACGGCUGUCGUCAGCUCGUGUCGUGAGAUGUUGGGUUAAGUCCCGCAACGAGCGCAACCCUCGUCAAUAGUUGCCAGCAGGUUAAGCUGGGCACUCUAUUGAGACUGCCUUCGUAAGGAGGAGGAAGGUGAGGACGACGUCAAGUCAUCAUGGCCCUUAUGGCUAGGGCUACACACGUGCUACAAUGGGGCGUACAGAGAGUUGCGAUACCGCGAGGUGGAGCCAAUCUCAUAAAGCGUCUCUCAGUUCGGAUUGAAGUCUGCAACUCGACUUCAUGAAGCUGGAAUCACUAGUAAUCGUAGAUCAGCAAUGCUACGGUGAAUACGUUCCCGGGUCUUGUACUCACCGCCCGUCACACCAUGGGAGUUGAUUUCACCCGAAAUUGGGAAGCUAACCUUCGGGAGGCUACCACUUACGGUGGAAUUAGCGACUGGGGUGAAGUCGUAACAAGGUA